UGGGUGUGGUUAUACCAGUCAGCUUCUUUGAAGAGGCAAAUAAUGCCCAUUACAAUUCCAUAGCCAUAAUUGAUGCUGAUGGGAGUGACCUUGGUCUCUAUAGGAAGUCUCAUAUUCCAGAUGGACCAGGUUACCAGGAAAAGUUCUACUUUAAUCCCGGUGACACUGGCUUCAAGGUUUUCCAAACUAAAUUUGCAAAAAUUGGAGUCGCAAUAUGCUGGGAUCAGUGGUUUCCAGAAGCAGCCCGAGCUAUGGCUCUGCAAGGUGCAGAAAUAUUGUUUUACCCUACUGCUAUUGGUUCUGAACCGCAAGAUGAAGGACUUGAUUCCUGUGAUCACUGGAAGCGAGUGAUGCAGGGGCAUGCUGGGGCUAACCUGGUACCUCUAGUAGCUUCGAACCGGAUUGGAAAGGAAAUAAUCCAGACAGAGCAUGGAGAUAGCAAGAUCACAUUUUAUGGGAACUCAUUCAUAGCCGGACCAACUGGGGAAAUUGUAGCGGCUGCUGAUGACAAAGAGGAAGCUGUUCUCAUUGCUAAGUUUGAUCUGGACAAAAUCAAAUCCAAGAGACAUAGUUGGGGGGUAUUCCGAGAUCGACGUCCAGAUUUGUACAAGGUUCUUUUGACAUUAGAUGGCAGUAAACCCUCAGUGUGAUUUUGUGCUGCUUAUUACAAUUUCACAAUGCUACUUUUUUGUAACCAUUAAAUAUCAUAAAAAAUUCAUGGUUGGGAAAAUGUUUUANGUGGAAUGAGAAGUUCAUAUAUGUUUGAAGGAUGAUCAAAGAACAAUUUUUUGGGCGCG
This 797-nucleotide unclassified non-coding RNA is filed under the name Hevea brasiliensis (rubber tree). Lineage: Eukaryota; Viridiplantae; Streptophyta; Magnoliopsida; Malpighiales; Euphorbiaceae. The record is from RNAcentral.